UUUUUUUUUUUUUUUUUUUUUGAGAAGCUGAAGCGCUGUCUUGGGUUCUGGAGAUGAUGAACAGGGGUCAUAUCCCAGCAACAUGUUUGGCAAGUUGUGUGACCUUGAACAGGUCACAUGAAUGUGGGCCUUACUACCCUAGAGUAGUGUGACCGGUUACUCGGGUAUAAUGUAUUUUGAGCACCUGUUUCCACAUCACUAUUGUAAGGUCAGAUGCUAAGAACUGUGUUAGUUAUUUUUCUGUUGCUGUGAUAAAACAGCCAGGACCAGUGCAACUUAAGGAAGGAAGAGUAUAUUUAGGCUUAGGGUUUCAGAAGGAUUUAAGGGUUGGUGAUGGCAGAGUGGAGGCAUGGUAGCUGGAGAAGAAUGCUAAGAGCUUCCAUCUGCAAACUGAAAGCUCAAGCCAGAGACAGCCACUGGAAAGGGUUUUGGGGCCUAAAGUUUAGACUCAACCUCCUGUAGAUGUUGCUUCUAUUUCCUCAGAUGAUGGGAUGAGAUGAGCUGGGCUGAGCCCAGAGCACUUAUUUCUCUUAACUAUCUCUAGGCCUAGUCCUGCAAAGCUUCUAGCCUCCAUACAAUCCAAUCUUUCAAGCUGUACAGAUGGUUGUGAGCCUUCAUGUAGUUGUUGGGAAUUGAAAUUUAGGACCUCUGCUCACUCUGGUCAACCCUGCUAGCUCUGUUCGGCCUUACUCGCUCAGUCCCUGCUUGCUCCGGCCCAAUUUAUUUAUUAUUAUACAUAAGUACACUGUAGCUGCCUUCCGACACACCAGAAGAAGGUGUCAGAUCUCAUUACAGUUGGUUGUGAGGCAUCAUGUGGUUGCUGGGAUUUGAACUCAGGACCUUUAGGAAGAGCAGUCAGUGCUUUUACCUGCUGAGCCAGUUCUCCAGCCCCAGGCCGAUUGAUUCAAUCUGGCUUUUCUCUGUUUCUGACUGAAUUGCUCUGCUUGGCCUCAUACUAACUUAGGCUAUAUGUUCUACUCUUCUGGCUCAUUCUCAUUCUCUGGCUUGUUCUAUCUUCACCUGUGUCGAGUUUGCUCUUUUUCUGCAAUCUGUCUCUGUAAAACUGUCUUGGUAAAACUGCCACACACACCCCACAUACUACACUAUCCCCCCUCCUCCCCACUCUUAAGUAGCUUCCCUUUCCUGUGCAGUUCUCCGAAGAGUUGGGUAUAUCCUAUCUCUGAGUCAUUCUGUCAACUCUUUCUCUGAUUCAUCACUUUGUCUGCCCCUCGAUUAGAUGCCACUUUCAAACAUGGCUGCUUUCUUCUACAAAGUAACCUUACUUUCAUUGUUAGGGAUUAAAGGUGUGCACUAAGGGUGUGUCUAUACUCCAGCCAGAUCAUACUGUAAUCCAGGGUGUGUCUGCAUCCCAGCUGGAUCACAUAGACCUAGAAGGUUUUAGGAUAUAAUCCCUUGCCAGAGCAGCCAUGUUGCUGGAUUAAAAUCCUCUGUAACCUUCAGUGAUAUACUUUCUCCAAAAGGCCACACCUUCUAAACCUCCCCAAACAGCAUCAUCCCUCUGGGGACCAUGUGUUCAAAUCACGAACCUAUAGGGAGCCAACCUCAUUGCAACCACAGCAGCUGGAGAGCAGCUCAGGUGGGACCUGGCGUGUGGAUAGUGCUCACUGGAUGCUGGUGAGAAGAAUCAUUGAUUGAAAAGAAUACUCAUGUUAGUGAGGCUGGUGGGGACAUGAGAACUAUCUUCCAAUGUUAGGAGGACAACUGGGGACAGAUCUGCAGGCAGCCUGUCAGUGUAUUUAUGCAAGUCAUUGGAACGGAAGUUCUGGUUCUAGAAGCUUAUGCCAAUGAAAUAAUUGUGCAAGUGCACACAUGUAUAUCACAUAGGUGGUUACCACAUUAUUUAUUAUCC
This 1870-nucleotide long non-coding RNA is filed under the name Mus musculus (house mouse). RNAcentral describes it as "long non-coding RNA chr2:59634279-59636149". The record is from RNAcentral. Lineage: Eukaryota; Metazoa; Chordata; Mammalia; Rodentia; Muridae.